CGGGGCGUAGCUCAGUCAGGCUAGAGCGCGCGGUUUGGGUCCGCGAGGUCGCCGGUUCAAGUCCGGCCGCCCCGA
Molecule: transfer RNA, 75 nt
Filed under: Chloroflexota bacterium
Lineage: Bacteria; Bacillati; Chloroflexota
Also listed under: 1 other name
Description: tRNA-Pro
Rfam family: tRNA
About the family: Transfer RNA (tRNA) molecules are approximately 80 nucleotides in length. Their secondary structure includes four short double-helical elements and three loops (D, anti-codon, and T loops).
Source: RNAcentral